CGUAGGGUGCGAGCGUUAAUCGGAAUUACUGGGCGUAAAGCGUGCGCAGGCGGUUUUGUAAGCCAGAUGUGAAAGCCCCGGGCUUAACCUAGGAAUGGCAUUUGGGACUGCAAGGCUUGAGUGCGGCAGAGGAGACUGGAAUUCCUGGUGUAGCAGUGAAAUGCGUAGAUAUCAGGAGGAAUACCGAUGGCGAAGGCAGGUCUCUGGGCUGACACUGACGCUCAUGCACGAAAGCGUGGGGAGCAAACAGGAUUAGAUACCCUGGUAGUCCACGCCCUAAACGAUGUCGACUGGUUGUUGGGGGUUUGACACUCUCAGUAACGAAGCUAACGCGUGAAGUCGACCGCCUGGGGAGUACGGCCGCAAGGCUA
RNAcentral lists this ribosomal RNA (371 nucleotides) under uncultured organism. RNAcentral's name for it is "bacterial SSU rRNA". It matches the Rfam family "Bacterial small subunit ribosomal RNA", at positions 526 to 896 of the family's 1533-position model. The record is from RNAcentral.